UUUUUCCCCCAAAGCCCCAGUAGAUAGUUGUAUGUCAUAGCUGCACAUCCUUCUAGUUGCUGUAUGUGGACCGUGGGCUCAGCAUGGCCGGAGAGGCGGUGCGUCGGUGCACGCCCGGGAUCUGAACCCGGGCCGCCAGCAGCGGAGCACGCGCAUUUAACCACUAAGCCACAGGGCCAGCCCUAAGAUGGGUUUUCCCAUAGCACUUCGUACUCUGUGCUCUAAUAGCUUGUUUAUGAGGCUGUUUGCCUAAGCAGGCUUCAAACAUCUAGUUGUUUAUCUUUGCCCUGAGCAGUAUCUGACACAUCACACAGGCUCACUGAAUAUUUAGUCCCGAUCUAUAGGAGAGAGGGGUCCACCCAAUUAGACAAGAGCCAGGACAGGACACAGAGGAAAGCUGGUGUAAAAGCAGGGAGGGGUGCUCAUUGAUGGCCAUCCUCUUUCAAAGGAGAAGCUAUUACUAUCGUAUGCCUGGUUCUGUCUACUCCGCCUUCUGCGCUCUUAGACCCAUCCCAAUUAGACACACACAUAAUUCUAUUAGAUACAACUCAAGAUGACAGAUCCAAAAAUAAUCUCUUAUUCAAGGUCAGUGCAAGGCAUAGAAACGCUAUCUUGGUCAACCCACUGAACCAGUGGGUGGAUAUCAGCGCCCAGGUGAAAAGACUCCCCACCCUCAAGAACAGGGCACUGUGGAGCGUUAGCAGGGUCACAUCGUGACUCGCAUGGGUCUUAGACACUUGUGCUUUGGUGGGCCCAUUCCUCUAUAAAAAUAUAUUAAAAAUCAUAUUUUGUGACUACAUCGGUAUAAAGAUGAAAAUAGUCCAGGCUUGACUCAUUUUUAUGUAUUCAUUAUUAUUAUAUUCAUCUUCUUCUUCUGAUUUUAAAAGAAAUUAAAAUUAGAACAUUUUCAUGGGCCCCUAAAAGUAUUGUGGGCCUAUUUUAGUCGAGUUCUCCAGAGAAAUAGAACCAAUAGGAGAUUAAAUAUAGAUAUAGAUAUAUAAAUAUAUAAAGAGAUUUAUUAUAAGGAAUUGGCUCAUUCGGUAUUAGAGGCUAAGAACUCCCACAAUCUGCAGUUGGCAAGCCGAAGGCCCAGGAGAGCUGAUGGUGUAGAAGUUCCAGCCUGAGUCCAGGAUUGAAGGCAAGAGAAGAUCAAUGUCCCAGCUUGAAUACAGUCGGGCAAAGAGAGCUCAAAUUCUCCCUUACUCCACCUUUUUUGUUCUGUUUAGGCCUCCAACAGAUUGGAUGAGUCCCACACAUACCGACGAGGGCAAUCUGCUCCACUGGUCAAUCUCAUCCAGAAAUACCCUCGCAGACACACCCAGAACCACGUUUAAUCAAAUAUCUGGGUACCUCACGGCCCAGCCAAGCUGACACAUAAAAUUAACCAUGGCAGGACCUUAGGUACUUUGUCUGCUGAGCCUACUGGAGAACUUGGCCUGAGCGUUAGGAAUAAAUUAUAUAUAGUCCUUUCCUUAGAGUUACCACUUUGUAAACGGGACCCACGGGAGAGAUGAUGGCUCUGCACACACAGUGGCUACCUGGGCUCACUGCCAGGGGUCUUGAGUUUGGGGGCUGGUGCCCAUGCAUUUUAAUCCCUAGUUGGAGGAAUGGGAAUGAAGAGGGCCGGGACCUUGGAGGACUAACUUCACCUGUUCUCUGUUUCAAAUCAUCUCUAUCCCUGGCCAAAUAUCUGUGCCCUAUGCUGAGCCCUGGAGAUGAAGUUUGUCGAGCUGGACUUGGAAGAGCAGAGCUUCCUCUAGGCCAGAGGAUCAGGAACUUGGACCCCAGACUGGAGAAAACAUCCUUGUAGACUGGUACUGCUCUGAGGCCUGAAGUUUGGUGACUAUGGAACUUCAUGUACUCCCGGGACUGUCUUCAAGCUCUAAUGUGGAUGGGCAGAAUCGUCCUGACACCACCUUCCUGGGUUAAGGAAGACUCAGAGUAUUCUAGAAGUGCCAUCCUUAUUUACUGAACAAAACAGGAAGAUAUAAUGUACUAAGUUGAAUAAGAAUCCCCUCAAAACUCAUGUCCACAGAGAACCUCAGAAUGCGACUUUUUUUGGAAAUAGGGUCUUUGCAGAUGUAAUUAGUUAGAAUGAGGUCAUGCCUGGAUUAGAGAGGGCCCUAAAUCCAAAGACUGGUGUCUUUAUAAAAGAGAAAACAGAGACAUAGACACACACACACACAAACACAGACAGACACACACACACACACACACACAAACACAGAGAAAGAACAGAACGCCAUGUGACAACAGAGGCAGAGACUGGAGUGAUGCAUCUACAGACCAAGGACCACAAAAGAUUGCCGGCAGCCAACAGAAGCUGGGAGAGAGGCCUGGAACAGAUUCUCCCUCAAAGCCUCCAGAAGGAACCAACCUUGCCAAUACCUUGAUUUCAGACUUCUGGCCUCCAGAACUGUGAGAAAAUAAAUUUCUGUGGAUUUGA
Molecule: long non-coding RNA, 2446 nt
Organism: Diceros bicornis minor
Lineage: Eukaryota; Metazoa; Chordata; Mammalia; Perissodactyla; Rhinocerotidae
Exons: 3
Source: RefSeq, a predicted model, not a curated record